RNAcentral lists this small RNA (965 nucleotides) under Pan troglodytes (chimpanzee). RNAcentral describes it as "retained intron". Lineage: Eukaryota; Metazoa; Chordata; Mammalia; Primates; Hominidae. The record is from RNAcentral.
GGAGGGAGGCUCGGAGCUCAGGAAGCAUGGCACUCUGGCGGGCAUACCAGCGGGCCCUGGCUGCUCACCCGUGGAAAGUACAGGUCCUGACAGCUGGGUCCCUGAUGGGCCUGGGUGACAUUAUCUCACAGCAGCUGGUGGAGAGGCGGGGUCUGCAGGAACACCAGAGAGGCCGGACUCUGACCAUGGUGUCCCUGGGCUGUGGCUUUGUGGGCCCUGUGGUAGGAGGCUGGUACAAGGUUUUGGAUCGGUUCAUCCCUGGCACCACCAAAGUGGAUGCACUGAAGAAGAUGUUGUUGGAUCAGGGGGGCUUUGCCCCGUGUUUUCUAGGCUGCUUUCUCCCACUGGUAGGGGCACUUAAUGGACUGCCAGCCCAGGACAACUGGGCCAAACUACAGCGGGUGAGCUGGGCAGGUGUGGAGAAUGUCUCUGGCUGGCGGGCUGACAGCCCAGGGGAAGAAGACAGGUUUUACAGGGAUAAAAAAGGGGGUAAGUGCAGGUAGAGCCCCAGGCCAUGGAGGAGAGGAGCUGAGGGUUAUGGUGCAGGAAUGUGCUCUUUGAACCCAAGUCUGUGUGUGACAUUCACACUGGGAAGUGGGAGCUGCUUGGGGGCGCAAGUGUUAAUUUGUUCCUUCUCUGUCUCCCCAGGAUUAUCCUGAUGCCCUUAUCACCAACUACUAUGUAAGAGCUGACACCUCAACUGCUUGUUCUCCUGCUUCCUUAAGUCUAGAACUGUCCUGGGAUUGGGGGGUCCUCCUGACAUGGGAAACCCUUCCGUUGGGAUUACUCUUUCAUUCCCAGGAUGGGCACCAUAAAUAGGGAAGCCAUCACCCAACUGUUCACCUUUUUCUUGUGUGCAGAAGUUGGGGUAGGGCCAGGCAAGACAGUGAGUCUGGGGUCAGGUGGUGGGGCAGCCAUCCAACCUUUACAUUCUCUCUUGCAGCUAUGGCCUGCUGUGCAGUUAG